GGGGGUAUGGCGGAAUUGGUAGACGCUGUGGACUUAAAAUCCAUUGAUUUUUUUAAUCAUGAGAGUUCAAGUCUCUCUACCCCCA
RNAcentral lists this transfer RNA (85 nucleotides) under Verdigellas peltata. RNAcentral describes it as "tRNA-Leu". It matches the Rfam family "tRNA". Rfam says of the family: Transfer RNA (tRNA) molecules are approximately 80 nucleotides in length. Their secondary structure includes four short double-helical elements and three loops (D, anti-codon, and T loops). Further hydrogen bonds mediate the characteristic L-shaped molecular structure. tRNAs have two regions of fundamental functional importance: the anti-codon, which is responsible for specific mRNA codon recognition, and the 3' end, to which the tRNAs corresponding amino acid is attached (by aminoacyl-tRNA synthetases). tRNAs cope with the degeneracy of the genetic code in two manners: having more than one tRNA (with a specific anti-codon) for a particular amino acid; and 'wobble' base-pairing, i.e. permitting non-standard base-pairing at the 3rd anti-codon position. Lineage: Eukaryota; Viridiplantae; Prasinodermophyta; Palmophyllophyceae; Palmophyllales; Palmophyllaceae. RNAcentral also lists the same sequence under 1 other name. The record is from RNAcentral.